AAUCAGCCGGGGGUUAGUCGGGACCUAAGGCGAACCCGAAAGGGGUAGUCGAUGGAUAACUAGUUAAUAUUCUAGUACCACCUUUAUUUUCGAUGGGGUGACGGAGUAGUGAAAGUACCGCGUACUGACGGAAUAGUACGUUGAAGCGUGUAGGUAUAGGAACUGUAGGUAAAUCCGCAGAUCUUGCUGAACGUGAUAGUACCACAAAUCUUCGGAUGCGUGGAUAGUGUACCUAAUCAGACUUCCGAGAAAAACCUCUAAGGCUAGGAUAAAGGUGCCCGUACCGUAAACCGACACAGG
RNAcentral lists this ribosomal RNA (300 nucleotides) under Cyclophora tenuis. RNAcentral describes it as "partial Bacterial large subunit ribosomal RNA". It matches the Rfam family "Bacterial large subunit ribosomal RNA", at positions 1367 to 1663 of the family's 2925-position model. The record is from RNAcentral. Lineage: Eukaryota; Bacillariophyta; Fragilariophyceae; Cyclophorales; Cyclophoraceae.